This 433-nucleotide ribosomal RNA is filed under the name uncultured bacterium. RNAcentral's name for it is "partial 16S ribosomal RNA". It matches the Rfam family "Bacterial small subunit ribosomal RNA", at positions 29 to 507 of the family's 1533-position model. The record is from RNAcentral.
AACGAACGCUGGCGGCAUGCCUAGCACAUGCAAGUCGAACGAGACCUUCGGGUCUAGUGGCGCACGGGUGCGUAACGCGUGGGAACCUGCCCUUAGGUUCGGAAUAACUCCCCGAAAGGGGUGCUAAUACCGGAUAAUGUCUUCGGACCAAAGAUUUAUCGCCUUUGGAUGGGCCCGCGUUGGAUUAGCUAGUUGGUAGGGUAAAAGCCUACCAAGGCGACGAUCCAUAGCUGGUCUGAGAGGAUGAUCAGCCACACUGGGACUGAGACACGGCCCAGACUCCUACGGGAGGCAGCAGUGGGGAAUAUUGGACAAUGGGCGAAAGCCUGAUCCAGCAAUGCCGCGCGAGUGAUGAAGGCCUUAGGGUUGUAAAGCUCUUUUACCCGGGAUGAUAAUGACAGUACCGGGAGAAUAAGCUCCGGCUAACUCCGUG